CGGGUUCCGCCUACAAGGAAGACUUCACCCGGACUCCUACGGAAGCUGGGCUCCAUCCACGACUUCUGCAGCAAGGGCUAAUGGUGGCGAAACCCGGCCGCCUAACAAGAUCGGAUGAAAGGAAAAAGCCCCUCCCCCCCCAACGAUGUCAACAUCAGACAAGUCAAACGACAAGAAAGGUUCGGCAGACAGCAGUAUCAGUGCGACGCGCGGACGAGGUAACACAAAAUGCUCUUUUUAUUCCAUUUCCGAUAUACACACUACAAAGCCAGGACGGCCA
RNAcentral lists this long non-coding RNA (280 nucleotides) under Elaeis guineensis (African oil palm). RNAcentral's name for it is "long non-coding RNA (EGUI_LNC067405)". Lineage: Eukaryota; Viridiplantae; Streptophyta; Magnoliopsida; Arecales; Arecaceae. The record is from RNAcentral.